AGGGAAGAAGAAGGUAUCCCUGAUUUGGAAGACGAGGAUUUUGAGCACGAGGUUGUUAAGGAAGUUCAUGGACAUCAGAAGUUUGUCGAAGGCGAAAGUGAAGUCCACGGAGGGAACCAUUCAAAGGCAGUGGCAGAGGAGGAGAGAGAGAAGCAAAGUGAUUCGGAGUCGCUAUACCAUGGGAGGCCAAGUGCGUCAAUGGAAAAUGAGCAGGUGGAGUUUGAGGUACACGUUGUGGAUAAGAAAGUGGUAGAUGAGGAAGGGAAGUCAGGGCAUGGGGGAAAUGUUGCUGGGUUCAAAGCUCGUGCAUUCAAGGACGACUCUGAUGUUGUGAAAGAGAUUCAGGUUCAGUUUGAGCAAGCUUCUGAAUCUGGAAAUGAGCUUGCUAAGAUGCUGGAGGUUGGAAAGCUUCCCCACAAUCGUAAGAACGCCACAUAUCAAGUGUCUUCCAAGAUGUUGCAUGCAAUUUCACCUUCAUUGUCCGUAGUGUCGUCACAACCUUCUACGUCAAACAAUGCUGCAAUUCAGAUUAAUGAUCCUGCUGCUUUAGAUGUGGAAGGAGAUGUAAGUUCAAGGUACAAGAACCUUUCUUCAACGUUAAACAAGCUGUACCUCUGGGAGAAGAAACUGUAUCAGGAGGUUAAGUCUGAGGAGAAGAUAAGGGUGCUUCAUGAAAGGAAAUCUGAAAAGCUGAAGAGGCUAGAUCAAAAGGGUGCUGAGGCUCACAAGGUUGACAUGACAAGACAAUUGGUUAGAAGUCUCUCCACAAAAAUUAGAAUUGCGAUUCAGGUUGUCGAUAAGAUUUCUGAGAAGAUAAACAAGAUGAGGGAUGAAGAGUUAUGGCCGCAACUGAAUGUACUUAUUCAGGGGUUAAGUAAAAUGUGGAAAGGCAUGCUUGAGUGUCAUCGUAACCAAUGCCAGGCUAUUGGAGAAGCCAAAAGAUUAGAUGCCAUUGCAUCUCACAAACACUUGAGUGAUGCUCAUCUUGAAGCCACUCUGCAGCUUGAACAUGAGCUUUUGAACUGGACUUUGAGAUUCUCUUGCUGGGUGAAUGCACAGAAGGGCUAUGUGAGAGCACUAAACACUUGGCUCAUGAAAUGUCUUCUGUAUGUGCCCGAGGAAACAGCCGAUGGAAGAGUUCCCUUUUCUCCAGGCAGAAUUGGUGCUCCCCCAAUUUUUGUCAUCUGUAAUCAGUGGUCACAAACCAUUGAAGGAGUUUCUGAGAAAGAGGUUAUUGACUGUAUGCGAGAUUUUGCAUCAAAUGUCCUUCAACUCUGGGAGCGAGAUAAGCAUGAAAUGCGGCAAAGGAUGAUGGUGCACAAGGAUAUGGAGAGAAAAGUGAAGAACCUUGAGAGGGAGGAUCAGAAGAUACAAAAGGGGAUUCAUGCACUGGACAAAAGAAUAGUACUCAUUUCUGGGGAUGAAACUGGUCUCUCAUUAAAUAGGCAUGUCGUUUACCAGAGUGACACAAGCAAAAAUAGUAGCCUUCAGGUCGGUCUGAGACAUAUUUUUGAGGCCAUGGAAAGGUUUACUGCCAAAUCCUUGAAGGUGUAUGAGGAACUUCUACAACGCAUUGAAGAGGAUGAUCUAGCUUAAAGAGCAUGAGAAAUUGGUAUAGCCGCUACCUUGAGAAGGUUAUGUCUUCCAGACAGAGGACAAUGUGAAAUGGAGCAACGAAAACCUUGUUGUCUUUCUCUGCUCUUGCUGUAGCAUCAUCACAGCUGAUCAGUUUCAGUUCGGUAAGCGGGGUCAUGGAAGAGGUAAUUCCUGAUGAUGUGCCUUUUGUGGUUGUUGCAAUGGCAUCUUUUUGCCAAUGUCAGAACAGAUAUUCUUGAAUCUCCUGUGUUAGAAGUCUCCCCGGAUGUUGAAUAUUGCAGUAAUUGAUGCAUCAGCAAGUAUCCUGUUUUUCAGUGGUAAGGAUCCAUGCCAGACUGGCUGUGAACCUGAAACAAGAUGAUUAAAUACCCUAGGAUGGCCAUCAAUCCUCAAGUCACUAAUGUGCUUACAAAAGGGGACCUGAGCUAGUGGAGAUGUAUAAAUUCUAAAAUGCUAUGACUACUCUGGGGCUAAAUGCAAGUAUAUUUAUGGUUGGGGACAUUAUAUGACAUGCUAUGACUACCUUGGCGCUAAGUGGCAUGGUGGUUGUUUGCCCCAUUGACACCAUUGAGGCUUGAAGUGCACCCUACAUGUUGGCCAGCCAGUCCCUGUGGCAAGUUUGGUAGCCACCGACCGACUAAAUUGAGCCAGACGGAGAACUCUGUGCUCCUGGAGCUGCUAUUGGGUUUGGUAUUUUGAUGAUUGUUAGAGAUAUAUGUGCUACGGCAGGCCAUGUUCAUGUAUAGAUUGGCUGCACUCUUGUGAUAAUUGCAAAUAAGCGAAGUAGGGGUGGUAUCUCUAAACUGUAAGCAGCAGGGGCCAUCUAAGGAAAAAAAAGCAUGAAGAAUGGCUUAUUAUAGUUGGGCGUUUUUCAGUUGGAUUGAUGAGAAGAAGCUGUUUGGUAACACAAGUCAUUGAGACUGCUGGUUGUCUGGCACCAGACCUGCCUGAGAACAGAGAGAUAAUACUUGUAACUUGUAAGUAAGUUGUAUUCAGAUUGUUCUUUAAAUUCUGAUAAUAAUCUGUAUCUUAAAUUUUGUGUACAUAGGACUGGGUAGAUAUAUAUAUAUAUAUGUUUUUUAUACUAUAUAGAUAUAUAGUGCAU
Molecule: unclassified non-coding RNA, 2701 nt
Filed under: Hevea brasiliensis (rubber tree)
Lineage: Eukaryota; Viridiplantae; Streptophyta; Magnoliopsida; Malpighiales; Euphorbiaceae
Source: RNAcentral